RNAcentral lists this ribosomal RNA (459 nucleotides) under uncultured bacterium. Its description in RNAcentral is "partial 16S ribosomal RNA". It matches the Rfam family "Bacterial small subunit ribosomal RNA", at positions 338 to 795 of the family's 1533-position model. The record is from RNAcentral.
CCUACGGGCGGCAGCAGUGAGGAAUAUUGGUCAAUGGACGCAAGUCUGAACCAGCCAUGCCGCGUGCAGGAAGACGGCUCUAUUAGUUGUAAACUGCUUUUGUACGAGGGUAAAUCCCGAUACGUGUAUCGGGUUGAAAGUAUCGUACGAAUAAGGAUCGGCUAACUCCGUGCCAGCAGCCGCGGUAAUAAGGAGGAUUCAAGCGUUCUACGGAUUUAUUGGGUUUAAAGGGUUCGUAGGCAGGUUAGCAAGUCAGCGGUAAAAUCGUGGAGCUCAACUCCAUCCAGCCGGUGAAACUGAUGAUCUUGAGUGGGCGAGAAGUAUGCGGAAUGCGUGGUGUAGCGGUGAAAUGCAUAGAUAGCACGCAGAAGUCCGAUUGCGAAGGCAGCAUACCGGCGCCCGACUGACGCUGAAGCACGAAAGCGUGGGUAUCGAACAGGAUUAGAUACCCCGGUAGUC